This 193-nucleotide ribosomal RNA is filed under the name uncultured bacterium. RNAcentral's name for it is "partial 16S ribosomal RNA". It matches the Rfam family "Bacterial small subunit ribosomal RNA", at positions 328 to 537 of the family's 1533-position model. The record is from RNAcentral.
ACGCUCGACACCUACGGGAGGUAGCAGUAGGGAAUAUUGCACAAUGGGGGAAACCCUGAUGCAGCGACGCCGCGUGAGUGAAGAAGUAUUUCGGUAUGUAAAGCUCUAUCAGCAGGGAAGAAAAUGACGGUACCUGACUAAGAAGCCCCGGCUAACUACGUCGCNNNCGCGAGUAUNGNGCGGNGNGACGAGC